UAUAAUAAUUCUAUAUUUAUAUUUUAUGUAAUUUAUCAUUAUUGUUAACUUUCAAACUAAUUUCGCCUUACUAUAGGACGAUGUGAAAAGGUUGUAAAUCGAGGUAUAAAUAUGCAAUGAAACUUAAAAUUAAUUUAUAUGUUUUGAAAAUGUGAAUGUGAUAUGUGUAAAUCUAAUUUACUCAUAACAAUAUCGAAAGUCUCUAUAUGUUGGUACAAGUAGACCCAGAUUAAGGAUCGAUUGAGGCCCAGGACACCAUAAAUUUAGUGGACCCCUUUUCAACUUUAACUUAAAAAUCAUUGUAUCACUACAUUUUAAAAACUGUAUAUUAUCAUUACUAAAUAUAAUGUAAUUAAUGAUGUUAAAUUUUUCUUAGUUUGACUUGUUUUAUGUUUAUUUUUUAUUCUUGUUAAUUUAGGAAAUGCUCUUUCAGCCGAACAAUUCAUUUUUAUUUUUAUUAUAAUUGGGCACCUCAUGCGAAUAGAUUAAGAAUACCUAUUAUUAAUUAUUACCAUGGGCAUAGCGAGGGUGGGGCAGGGGCGCACUUGCCCACCCCUGCGCCUCAAAUUGAAUUAAAACAAUUUUUUUUUUUAAUUUGUAAUAAUUAAGUUUUACAUGAAAAUUGAAAAAUUAAAUGCGAUAUAAGAACAUUCAAGUCUAAAAAUAGUUUAGUGGGACCAAGUGUAAUCUACACGUAUAAUCAUUUUAUAUUUUAUCGAUUGGUCUAUGUGUAGAUUAUUUGAAUUAAGAGUUUUAACGCUAAUCGUUUUGUACUUUAUACAUUAAUAUCAACUUUUACUCAAACUGACAGCGAUAAUGUCGAUAUUAUAGAAUUUUAUUACAAUCACUUUUUCAAAACGCAUACUGCUAAUAAUAUAGUGCAACAGUGCAUGCUAUUCUGUGUUAGCGUAAACCCUAGGUUAGGUUAGGUUAUAAACGAAUAACGUUUAAAUUUUAUAUUAUAUUGUACACGAUGGACAAACGGAAGUUUUUUGGUGGUCUCUUCAUACUUAGCGUGCAUAGAAAGCUGAUAUAUGAAAAGAAGGAAGAGCUACAACAGACAAUUCUAAGUAGAUUUUGUGAAGAUCCUAGACAAUUGUCAUUAAUAUAAUUAUACGUACAAAAUUGUUUUUUUUUUAUUUAUUUUAUUACCU
This is a long non-coding RNA of Melanaphis sacchari, 1154 nucleotides long. RefSeq lists it as uncharacterized. The transcript is spliced from 3 exons. The record is from RefSeq and is a predicted model, not a curated record. NCBI's taxonomy places the organism in Eukaryota, Metazoa, Arthropoda, Insecta, Hemiptera, Aphididae.